AACUAAUUAGCAGUGUUUCUUAAUAGCCACAGAGAACUCUCAUGCUGGUCAGUGAGAGGAAGUGAGUUAUUGGGCCAGAAGUAACUGGAAGUUUGUUUGCUUGCCUUUUUGUUUCUUGGUUAAUAUUUUAUAUUUUGUACCCAGAGACUGCUGUGCUGACAGGGAUGAGAUAGAGAAUUGAAUCUGAAUGGAUGGAAAUGGAAAAUAAUGAUGACUAUCCCUGCAAGAAUUGUGGUGCCUGGCUUAGAUAACAGCUGCGAUCCUUCAAAGGAGAUGAGAUGGCGAGUUCUCACCACCCUGUCCUUCAGGGCCUCUUCUCAGCCCAGGAAGCAGGCUGCUGAGGUGGGCCGCAGUGAGGCUGGAGUGGACACACACAUGCCUCCAGCCUGACUUCCCAAGGCCAGCUUGCAGCACUCUCUCUAAACUUUCUCCAUUGUGACAUAGGAGAAAGAUAAGAUUGUGGCAGACCUUCACAAUGAAGACUCAAAGCUGGUUUCUAAUUCUCUGAGCCAUUUGAUGAUGGUGAUGGUGAGGAGGAGGAGGAUGAUACCACCACCUUUUGGAGGUUAAGCUAUGGGAAUCACUUGUAGAAGUGAUCGACCCUGGGCCACAGGAAGCUUCUAAUUGCUAUUGUCUGUGCACGUUCACAGAGAUCAUCUCCAGGUCAGGGACUGGCAAACUAUCCCAAGGGCCAAAUCUGGUUCACUGUUUCUUAAAUAAAGUUUCUUGGAACACAGCUACA
Molecule: long non-coding RNA, 742 nt
Organism: Myotis brandtii (Brandt's bat)
Lineage: Eukaryota; Metazoa; Chordata; Mammalia; Chiroptera; Vespertilionidae
Exons: 3
Source: RefSeq, a predicted model, not a curated record